CGGCUCCCUCAGUCUGGCGUCAUCUAGGUCGCUGCUCAGGGAAAUGCGGAGGCCAGUAGGCUUACGUGUUUACCGCGUAGGGCAAAGCCUUGCCAAAUUCCCGGCCAGCGGAGCGGCGAGGGUGGGGACUCACGGGAAGUUAAACAGCCUCGUCGGCGUCCUCGAGGCUCCAAAACCAGGCUCUAGGCGGGGACGACUGCAGCCGUUAUGGAGGCCACCGCGGCUACGGCCGCGGCUGAGGCCUCCCCAGGUGGAGCGGUGGCCUGGAGGGGAAUCUUGAUCCUGGGCCAGCCACCUGUCAAGAGGAGGCGGAGCGUCAUGCCUCUGGAAGACUGGAUGAAUAUUCUCCAGGAGCCUGACGAAGGCGUGAGUAAUAGGGACGUGCGCCGCCUUGUUGGUGUUGAUCAGUCCACCAAGGAGAAGCAGCUGGUCGCAGUGGCCGUACCUGUAAUCCCAGCGCUUUGGGAGGCCGCGGCGGGAGGAUCGCUUGAGCCCGGGAGUUCGAGACCAGCCUGGGCAACAUAGUGAGAAACCCGUCUCUACCAAAAAGAAAAAAAAAAAAAAAGGAAAAAAAUUAGUGCGGUGUGGUGGCACGCACCUGUAGUCCCAGCUACUCGGGAGGCUGAAGCGGGAGGGUCCCCUAAGUCUAGGAGGUCGAGGCUUCAGUGAGCGGUGAUUGUGCCACUGCACUCCAGCCUGGGCGACAGAGCAAGACCCUGCUUUCCCCUCUUGUCCUCCACUACCCUCAGGAAACCAAGAAAGACCAGCGUGGAGAGUUGGUCGCCCAUCUGCUCUAAGCUGCUGUGUAUUCCCCUGUAAUGUAAACAUCGUGAAGGUGGAGACCCAGUUAACCUUUUAGGUGGAAGGCCAGAUGACAGAGGGCGGCAUCUGACCCGGAAGGCCCUCUGCAACCAGGCCAAAUACAUCUACAGGGAACCAAUGGGAAACAUCUGGGGAGGACAACCCAAAUAAGUAUCAUGCGAGCAAGGGAUGGUUUGAGAACUUUAAAAAUCGCUGCUGUUUUGCAACAUACGAAGUUGAUGGGGAGGAAGGACCCUUAAAUCCUGAGUGGGUAUCGAGUAUUCCAAGCAACUGGAGAGAGGCUUUGUGCCUCAACAGGUCUUCAACGCCAAGGAGAUGACCCAUCUUUUGCAGUGCAUGCCUUCCUACUUUUGGGGCAAAAGACAAAAAUCUGGAAAGCUUAGAGGAAGCUAAGGACAGGAUUUCCCUCAUUUUUUUGUGGCAGUGCCUCAGGUGACAAAAUGAUAAAACCACUGCUGCUUUACAAAGACUCUAACACCCCACUUGUCUUUUAGAGAUAAACGCCUUCCUGUUUUCUUGUAAUCACACCCAGAAUCACCACUGCCACUUUUUGGAUUAGUUUUACAAUUUUUUUAUCCAUCAAAUCCGAAGUCAUUUAACAAAAAAAAUCUGGAAAUCAGAAUGUUGCUAACUGUGGACAGAGGUCCCAAUCACCCAGAUUCAUUAUUCUUUGUUCAUUCUAAUGUUGAUACUGUGUUUCUCCCUCAGGAAGGCCCUAGCUUUCUUCAGCCCUUGGGUCAGGGUAUAACUGAAGCAUUUGAACAUAAUCAAGCAUAUGUUUGACCACUUUGCUGACUGUAUUGAAAAAACCCUCACCUUACUCUGAAAGAAGCAUGGCAACAGUACAAUAUUGCCGAUGCUUUGGUAGUGAUAAAAGAGGUGAUGGGUGAUAUAAAAUCAGCCACUCUUAAGCUUGCUGGAAACUGUGGGAGGAUGUGUGAAUGAUGCAUAUUUCCCUAGAGCUAAUGAAGAAGUUAAAAAAAAUCUUAGUGUCUGCAAAACAGGUGGGUUUAAGAUUUAUUGAUAUUAGGGAAAGUGAAAUUAAUGAGCUACUCAAGUUUCUGUCUUUGGUCAUCACUGAGAGUCUAUUUCCAUAGGAAGAAGUCUUUGCAGAGGAAAUUGAAUGCUGUCUGAUGCUACAAUUCAUAUGGAUCCUUUCCUGGAUUGAAGCCUGACUUUUAAAAAAGGUUUCAAUAAAUUGCUUAUACCUAUGAAGAGAUGCAAAAGAACCUUCAAAAUAAAGCAAAGGACUUGAAGAAAGAGAAGGAAGACAUGAAGAAGAGGAUGUCAUUUAGGUGAAGGUGAUGGAUACAGAAUCUGAGUCUGAGGGGAGCCUGGUUGACAGAGAGACAAAAAAAGAAAUUUUUUUUUUCUGACUAAAAAAAAAAAGGAAAUUUUGUUAACAAAAUCAAGAAUUUAAAAAAAAUGCUGUGAGAGCUGAUCUAUGCAUCUGGUUUGUGAGCCAGUAUUCUGUGAUGGCUGCAGUUUUUAGAGAUCCUAGUAGCUCUACACAUCUGUCUUCUGCUUUCCUAGAACCUGGGCACCCCAUGGAUGACUCACUGCUGGUUUUGUGUGUGUGUGUGUGUGAUUUAAAAUUACAUUCAGUCAACUCUAUAGCCCUAUGGGCUUUUUGAAUAACCAAAUGCUCAACAGUUCUGUAAUCUUUCAGGUUGCUGUGAUCAGUCCCCAAGGAGUCUACACUCUCAAAGAGACUGGGAAAGGCCUGUGAGACAAUGGGAUUCUUUUUUCUAGAGGUGUAACUCUGCCUGUGUUUGCAUGCCACCUCCAGAACCACUAAAAUAUAAUUUCUCAGUGGGUGACUGAGUAAGACUGGCAGCAAUUGCAAAAGCAGAUUCAUGCCAUGUGUCACUCUUCACAGUCAGGAACUUAUUUACCUCUUGGAACUUUCCAAAGGAACGAUGAUGGUGGCGGUAAUGUCACAUUAGUAUGGAGCCCUUAAAUUCAGCAGUGUUCAACCUGAGGGAAGACAGAGUAGGUCAAUUCUCUUGGCAGCAGCUGAGGGAAGGAGAGAGCAGGGAGCAGGGCUCAGAUAAGGUUUGUUUGGCAGGGUCCAAGCACUUCAUGGAAUGGAGACCUUUGGCUGUCAGAGAUCUGAGGAAGAUUUGUCAGGGCCUGCUACACUCUGAGGGCUUGCAGUUUGGAUGGUUGGGAACACUUCUUCCUUGCACUGAUGGUGCUCCUAUUUCUAUGACACGUGUACUAGUUCAGACACAAUUUAUUGUGUUCACCAAUUCUAUGCACAGCAAUCAGACUGAGAUUGAAAUCCAGUAUAAUAUUAAAGGUGAUCUGGGCCAGGCGCAGUGGCUCAUACUUGUAAUCCCAGCACUUUGGGACGCUGAGUUAGGGGGAUCACUUGAGGCCAGGAGUUUGGGACCAGCCUGGGCCAGAAAAUGAGACCCCAUCUGUAAAAAAAAAUUUUUUUUAGGUUAGCCAGGCAUGGUGGUGCAUGCUUGUAGUCCUAGCUACUUGGGACACUAAAGUGGGAGGAUUGCAUGAGCCCAGGAGUUCGAGGCUGUAGUGAGCUAAGAUUGUGCCUCUGCACUCCAGCCUGGGUGACAGAGCAAGACUCUGUCUCUAAAACACACACACAAACAACAUCUGACAAGGCAUUUCAGCCUGGAGUCAGUCAAAAAAUCUUAGAGGUCUGUAAAGGAGAUGACUAUGCUGUUAGGGCUGUGGUAGAAACCUUUAAUAACAAGUGAAAAGAGCUUGUAUUUGCCAAAAUGAACACAGGAUAUGAUUCUUUUUUUGCUUUUGCUUUGGAGUUGUAUCAGCUCUGUGCGGUCACAUGGGUAUCUACAAAUCAAAGCACCCAUCAACCAGAUGCAUCUCUGAGAGUUAACAGCAGAAGGUGGCAUAAUAAAAGAAGUUCUCGGUAGUGAAAAAGGUUGGAAACCACCAGCUAAACCAAUCCUCUUGUACCAAUAGGAGAUUCAAGUUGAGAGGUGGGAAAGGGCCUAUCUCAGAGUAGGUGCUUGAAUACUUCUUACUAGAAUGAAAGAAGGAACUUAAGAUCACACAGCCAUGUUACUGCAGGACGGGGAAUGGAACCUAGGUCUUCUUAUUUUUGGUUCAGUGUUAACUCCCAUUCUCUAAGCAGACUGGGCCUGUUAUUCAAACUGCCUUCCCAUAGGUGCUUCCCUGCUUCUCUCCUCACCCAGAGAAGGACUUACAAACAGCUUAUCUUCAGAGGUUUUGUGCCUGAUAGUUAUGGAAUGUGCUGGUUUGAGCAGGGAGGAUGUAAGGGGAGGGAAUGCUAAAAGCCUGUCUACUUAGAGUCAGGUUUCCUGGGUAAGUCCCUGGAACCCCAUCCCCUUCCCCUUUCUUGAGACCCCAGGACUUGCUCCAGUAACUGCCACCCUGUGCCUUUGCUUCAGGGCCAUGCUGGAUAAGGAGCUGGCUGCCUCUGUGAACAUCCUACUCAAGGCAUCUUCACUGCUGUACAUCCUUUUGAAAUCCCAGAGAUCUUCAGUCUCCCUGUGGAUUAAGGAGAUGUGCAGUAUUUAAAGUGGCUUCAGGAAGGCAUGGAAGAGGACUGAGUGGGGAAAGCUUUUUGUGCAUGCUGCUGGCUACCUCCAGCGGCUGCCUCCAGCCUCCAUCAGCUGCACUCUGGGGAAGAGGAGGCUGCCUUCUACCUCCCAGCAUCUCUGGAUUUCAUGUUCCUGUCAGCACAGAGGAGCUAAAUGGCCUGUAGAGGCUGAAGGUCUGAGGCUCCUAAAGCUGGAAGAAAAGGCUGGGCCAGUCAGGCCAAGCAAGAACACAGUGUAACUUGUCUCUGAGUGCUUCAUGGUUAAGGGGGCUAAGCAGGCACAAGGGCAUGAGGAUGGUUAUAUGUACAGACUGAGGGGAAGAAGCAGUGAAGAUGAGACUUGCCAUCUUCUUGAGUCAGUAGGCCUGCCUCAGGUGCCUAGGAUGUAAUUGCUCUGCUGCUUCUCAUGGGGAGGAGUGGCCCUCAUGACCUUGUUUACCUGGAAGAGUGUGGGAUGAAUGCCUCCUCCUAUGGGGACUCGCAAGUGCUUUAGCAAAAGGAUAAAUUGCUAAUUGUGGCAUUUCGUGGAUCAGCAGGAUUAUUUCUCCUUGCUAAAGAGGAUUUUGUUGGUCCUGAAUUCUGAGGAGGUGGGACUAGGAAUGGGCUCCAUGAGCCUGUGUAUGACUCAGGGAAUAUUAGGACUUUGGCACAGCCUCAUGGGUUGGGAGUAAGUCUUGGCUCUUCCCUAGCCUGAAUGACAGACAUCAGAUCAUUCUGGUGCUUUGUCCAUGAAGAUGUAGAUUCUGAGCCCACCCAACUAAUCUUUUCACUUGAGCACAGAAACAGCCCCGGGAAUCGGACAGACCCGUGUCUUUCAGGUUUGCUUCACAGAGCCCCAGGGGUUGACAAUAGGUGCCUUGGAGACUGCCUGCAUGGGGAUUUUUAAAAAGCUUUCUUUGUUAAAGGUUUGUAAACCACUCCUCUGAGCCUGUUUUCAUUUUAUAGAUUAUUCAGGGAACUGAACUGCACAGAGAUCCAGAAAGUGGGUAGUGCAGGCUGUAGUGCUGAUAACUACUGUACUACUUGGAUCUUUGUGCUCCCAAAUACCAAAUGGAAGAGGAUCUCUGAGAGUCCUUUGCAAAGAUCUUGUAGGGACUUUAGGCUGGGGCCUUCGGAAAAUUCCAGAGGAUUCCAAUGGAGAUUUUGAGGGACUGACUCAGAAGAACAAAGAGAAUGAUAAUGGUGAUGUCCCUGCUUUUUACAACAGAUCAUGUUCUGAUAUAUAUGCAAAUCUGUGUAAAGUAAACCCUACCUAAAAUGUACUGGGGACCCAAGAUGGACUGCCUGUAUUGCUUCCAGGAUAAAGUCCAAUUUCUAGCUCUGGUUUUUAUAACCUUGCUUCAGCUCACCUUUUCCGUCAUCAUCCCCUCCAUCUCCUCUCCCACGCUGGGAAAUGGAUGGCUGCACUAUACUGUGUGAUGUUAUUGCUAUGUUCAUGCCAUCCCCUCUGCCUGGAAUGCCCUUCUGCAUGAAUGCCUGUGAAAUGUUGUUGCUCCUUUGUAUGGCCUGGCUUCCGUGGUUGGCAGGAAUCUCUUCUUUCGUGGUAUUCCUGUCAUCUUUGUGCAUCACAGUCAGCUUUGUAUUCCUAGCUUGUAAGCUACUUGAGGAUAGGGGCAUGUCUGAAUCUAUUUAAUCUCUUGCACCUGUUUGGCAAAUUGAUGUUUUAAGUAUUUAAAUAACUAAAGCUCUCUCUACAGUACAUACUCACUUUUGAUUUAUGAAUUGGCAAAAUUCAACUUUUUUCCUUGAAUAUUCUUAAAGUGAGAUGAAUUCCAAAGGAGAGUGUUCUGUGUGUGGCCUUCAUUGAGUGGUUUUCUGUUACCAGAAAGCUCUUGGUGGCCUUCCUCUUCCCUGGUGUCAAGGUUGACUGUUAUAGGAAAUGGGAGGGGAGAGGGCCGUUUCUGCCACGCAUUGUCCUAGGUUCUUAACAUUAUUUAAUCCUUAUAAUGCAAUGUUAUCCUCAUUUUACAGAUGAAACCUGAGACCAAAGAACAUGUAACACAUAAAGUACAUUGCAGAGUUAGGAUGUGAACCCAACUCUGAUUCUAAACCUAAUGCUCUCACUCUUUCAUUCAGAGGUUCAGUCAGUUCUUUGUAGGCUGUAGAUCCAGAGAAGCUGCCGUAGCCAACAAUGAAGUUGUUAGUUUUUAAAACAUCUAUGUGGUAAGUUGGUCUGGCACUUAAAAAUGUAUUGUUUCCCAGGCACGGUGGUUCACACCUGUAAUCCCAGCAUUUUGGGAGGCCGAGGCAGGCGGAUCAUUAGGUCAAAAGAUUGAGACCAUCCUGACCAACAUGGUGAAACCCCGUCUCUACUAAAAGUACAAAAAUUAGCUGGGUGUGGUGGCGCAUGCCUCUAGUCCCAGCUACCUGGGAGGCUGAGGCAGGAGAAUUGCUUGAACCCAGGAGGCAGAGGUUGCAGUGAGCCAAGAUCAUGCUACUGCACUACAGCCUGGCAACAAAGCGAGACUCUGUCUAAAAUAUAUAUAUAUAUAUAUAUUGUUUACUACUCACCACAGAUCUGCAGGAGUUCACUGAUCUCUAGGAUCUGCCUUAACUCCAACUUACAUGUUUUGGUCACUAUUACAAACUGUCAUCCCAGAAUGAUGCUGCAGAGGCUAGGGCUAGGACACAGACCAGUGUUUCCAUGUGGGAAUUCCCUCCCAGUAUUUCUUAGGAAAUGUAUGUUUUUUGAAUCCAUAAUCCCUAGAAAAAUCAGUUGAGGAAAUGAGAAGUAUUGUAAUUAUUCUGUGAAUAGUAACACUUACCAUUAUGGAGACAUCACUAGUUUGAAAGAAUCCAACUUCAUCAAAUAUUAACGUACCGAGUUGAAGGCUACAAGAACUGAGACAGGAGCAUAGCAGAGAGAAACGGUCACCAUCUCAUUAGCCCUAUUUUUGGUUGUUGUGAUGCCAUUACAUCUGUAUAUCUGGCCAUAUCAGCUGCUAAUGGUGAGUUCUUGCAAACAAAAUGAUUUGAUAAACAACCUACCAUACUUUAUACAAAUCUUAUGGUGUUCCGAGAAAUAAACUUUGGAAGCAAAAUAAGUUAACAGUCUGGACACGAUUGAUUCUAUAUUCUGUUUACCUUGCUCUAGGCUAUUCAAAUGUUAUAUUUAUUUGAACACUAUCCAAUAUAUGUUCCCUGGCAUCUUCCUGUCUUUUAAAUAUUCUCUGUACGCUACAGUUCUUUGUAAGUAAAAAUAAGCUUAAUAUGUCUACUUAGCAAACAAAGUUUUUCCAGAUACCUAUAAUAAUGAGGAAAACAGUAUAAAGAAUGAAGUAUUUGAAGAAUAACUUAUAAUUUGGGGGAUUUCUGAGAAUUCUACUUCUUUGUCCCUAAUUUCCGAAGGUAAAUGUUUGUUGUGAAUUUGGAAACACUAGACUACAGAAAAGCAGGCACUCUCUAGCCUGGGAGGCCCACUGAUCUUAGGAGGGUCCAUAUAGCUGCUUAUUGCAGACCUUGCACUAGAACCCAGGUCUUUUGACACCUGGUGCCACUUUUCAUUCCAUUCCAUUAAUUAUAGCCCAGAGAAUAACCAC
RNAcentral lists this long non-coding RNA (7911 nucleotides) under Homo sapiens (human). RNAcentral's name for it is "non-protein coding lnc-B3GNT10-21:7". The record is from RNAcentral. Lineage: Eukaryota; Metazoa; Chordata; Mammalia; Primates; Hominidae.